This 253-nucleotide ribosomal RNA is filed under the name uncultured bacterium. RNAcentral's name for it is "partial 16S ribosomal RNA". It matches the Rfam family "Bacterial small subunit ribosomal RNA", at positions 524 to 776 of the family's 1533-position model. The record is from RNAcentral.
UACGAAGGGGGCUAGCGUUGCUCGGAAUUACUGGGCGUAAAGGGCGCGUAGGCGGCGCUGCAAGUCAGGCGUGAAAUUCCUGGGCUUAACCUGGGGGCUGCGCUUGGGACUGUGGUGCUAGAGGACGGAAGAGGGUCGUGGAAUUCCCAGUGUAGAGGUGAAAUUCGUAGAUAUUGGGAAGAACACCGGUGGCGAAGGCGGCGACCUGGUCCGUUACCGACGCUGAGGCGCGACAGCGUGGGGAGCAAACAGG